Molecule: long non-coding RNA, 386 nt
Organism: Rhododendron vialii
Lineage: Eukaryota; Viridiplantae; Streptophyta; Magnoliopsida; Ericales; Ericaceae
Exons: 2
Source: RefSeq, a predicted model, not a curated record
CCCACGCCUCACUCUCCUCCAAACUUCUCUCUUCAAUUUCAUCGCCUUAGAAUGAGAUUUUGGAAAAAUCCCAAGUACUAAAGUUGUUCUACGCAACGAGAGCUUCCUAUCCAUCCAAGAAAAUUCAUGAUUGAAGCACUUCAAAGUUUCCUCCAUGUUCGGGCAUGCUUCUAACCUUCGAGGUACUCGCCAUGACACUUAGCUUGGAUUGCACAUUGAGUCUCUUGAGAGCUUCAUUGGAAUCUUUAAGGAGUUGUUUAUCAUCAAGUUUAAUUCAUGUCGUGCACUUUACUUGCAAUUGAAGGUUGUACCUUUUGAUUAGAUCAUAUGUAAAGCUAUGUGUAAACUCCUCUCCUUGAUUAUUAUGAAACCCAUUUAAUUGUAAA